RNAcentral lists this ribosomal RNA (372 nucleotides) under uncultured bacterium. RNAcentral's name for it is "bacterial SSU rRNA". It matches the Rfam family "Bacterial small subunit ribosomal RNA", at positions 524 to 898 of the family's 1533-position model. The record is from RNAcentral.
CACGUAAGGGGCAAGCGUUGUUCGGAAUUAUUGGGCGUAAAGGGCGUGUAGGCGGUUUUGUAAGCCUGGUGUAAAAGGUGUACGCUUAACGUACAUAGGUCGCUGGGGACUGCGAGACUAGAGUUUAGGAAGGGGAGCUGGAAUUCCAGGUGUAGGGGUGAAAUCUGUAGAUAUCUGGAAGAACACCAAUGGCGAAGGCAAGCUUCUGGCCAUAGACUGACGCUGAGGCGCGAAAGCGUGGGGAGCAAACAGGAUUAGAUACCCUGGUAGUCCACGCUGUAAACGAUGAUCACUCGUUGUUGGCGAUACACAGUCAGCGGCUAAGCGAAAGUGAUAAGUGAUCCACCUGGGGAGUACGAUCGCAAGGUUGAA